AUAUGCUCCAUGGACCAGCUCAACAGCAGUUAACUACUCUGAAAUAAACCGUUCAGUAUAUUCAUAGCUGUUUGCCUUGAGACGUUUCUUGAGAACUUUUAGAAUUUUCCACGACAAUUGCAGACACUAGGGAUAGAUUUAAUGCAAGCAAAGGUUAGCUACAUGAUCUACACCAGUGGUCGGCAAGUAACUUGGGCCGCGGGCCAGUAUUUUUCCUCGCCACUAGGUGGCGGGCCAGAGUCUGGGUUACUGCCUAUUUAGACGCUGCGAUAGGUGCCCCUUACGUGACCUCGCAACAACUAGGCUCACAUGGAGAAUGGAUAGGUCUACUAAAAAUAACUAAUGACUAUAAACCAUGUGAAUAAAAAAAGAUAAAAAAAAAAAAAAAACUUGGCUACGAUUG
This is a long non-coding RNA of Clupea harengus (Atlantic herring), 403 nucleotides long. RefSeq lists it as uncharacterized. NCBI's taxonomy places the organism in Eukaryota, Metazoa, Chordata, Actinopteri, Clupeiformes, Clupeidae. The transcript has 2 exons. The record is from RefSeq and is a predicted model, not a curated record.